This 433-nucleotide ribosomal RNA is filed under the name uncultured bacterium. RNAcentral describes it as "partial 16S ribosomal RNA". It matches the Rfam family "Bacterial small subunit ribosomal RNA", at positions 29 to 507 of the family's 1533-position model. The record is from RNAcentral.
AACGAACGCUGGCGGCAUGCCUAACACAUGCAAGUCGAACGAGACCUUCGGGUCUAGUGGCGCACGGGUGCGUAACGCGUGGGAACCUGCCCUUAGGUUCGGAAUAACUCCCCGAAAGGGGUGCUAAUACCGGAUAAUGUCUUCGGACCAAAGAUUUAUCGCCUUUGGAUGGGCCCGCGUUGGAUUAGCUAGUUGGUAGGGUAAAAGCCUACCAAGGCGACGAUCCAUAGCUGGUCUGAGAGGAUGAUCAGCCACACUGGGACUGAGACACGGCCCAGACUCCGACGGGAGGCAGCAGUGGGGAAUAUUGGACAAUGGGCGAAAGCCUGAUCCAGCAAUGCCGCGUGAGUGAUGAAGGCCUUAGGGUUGUAAAGCUCUUUUACCCGGGAUGAUAAUGACAGUACCGGGAGAAUAAGCUCCGGCUAACUCCGUG